AUACGGAAGAUCCAAGCGUUAUCCGGAUUUAUUGGGUUUAAAGGGAGCGUAGGCGGAAGUUCAAGUCAGUUGUGAAAGUCUGUGGCUUAACCAUAGAAUUGCAGUUGAAACUGAAUUUCUUGAGUGUAGAUAAGGAUGGUGGAAUUUGUGGUGUAAGCGGUGAAAUGCAUAGAUAUCACGAAGAACUCCAAUUGCGAAGGCAGCCAUCCGGGCUACAACUGACGCUGAGGCUCGAAAGUGCGGGAAUC
RNAcentral lists this ribosomal RNA (248 nucleotides) under uncultured bacterium. Its description in RNAcentral is "partial 16S ribosomal RNA". It matches the Rfam family "Bacterial small subunit ribosomal RNA", at positions 523 to 769 of the family's 1533-position model. The record is from RNAcentral.